GACGUAGAGCGCGAGCGUUGUCCGGAUUUAUUGGGCGUAAAGAGCUCGUAGGCGGCUUGUUGCGUCAGCUGUGAAAACCCACGGCUUAACUGUGGGCUUGCAGUCGAUACGGGCAGGCUAGAGUUCGGUAGGGGAGACUGGAAUUCCUGGUGUAGCGGUGAAAUGCGCAGAUAUCAGGAGGAACACCGGUGGCGAAGGCGGGUCUCUGGGCCGAUACUGACGCUGAGGAGCGAAAGCGUGGGGAGCGAACAGG
Molecule: ribosomal RNA, 253 nt
Filed under: uncultured bacterium
Lineage: Bacteria
Description: partial 16S ribosomal RNA
Rfam family: Bacterial small subunit ribosomal RNA
Source: RNAcentral